This 706-nucleotide ribosomal RNA is filed under the name uncultured Lachnospiraceae bacterium. RNAcentral's name for it is "bacterial SSU rRNA". It matches the Rfam family "Bacterial small subunit ribosomal RNA", at positions 28 to 746 of the family's 1533-position model. Lineage: Bacteria; Bacillati; Bacillota; Clostridia; Lachnospirales; Lachnospiraceae. The record is from RNAcentral.
GACGAACGCUGGCGGCGCGCCUAACACAUGCAAGUCGAACGGAGUCAAGAGGAGCUUGCUUUUCUUGACUUAGUGGCGAACGGGUGAGUAACGCGUGAGUAACCUGCCCUGGAGUGGGGGACAACAGUUGGAAACGACUGCUAAUACCGCAUAAGCCCACGGAUUCGCAUGGAUCUGCGGGAAAAGGAUUUAUUCGCUUCAGGAUGGACUCGCGUCCAAUUAGCUAGUUGGUGAGGUAACGGCCCACCAAGGCGACGAUUGGUAGCCGGACUGAGAGGUUGAACGGCCACAUUGGGACUGAGACACGGCCCAGACUCCUACGGGAGGCAGCAGUGGGGGAUAUUGCACAAUGGGGGAAACCCUGAUGCAGCGACGCCGCGUGGAGGAAGAAGGUUUUCGGAUUGUAAACUCCUGUCGUUAGGGACGAUAAUGGCGGUACCUAACAAGAAAGCACCGGCUAACUACGUGCCAGCAGCCGCGGUAAAACGUAGGGUGCAAGCGUUGUCCGGAAUUACUGGGUGUAAAGGGAGCGCAGGCGGACCGGCAAGUUGGAAGUGAAAACUAUGGGCUCAACCCAUAAAUUGCUUUCAAAACUGCUGGCCUUGAGUAGUGCAGAGGUAGGUGGAAUUCCCGGUGUAGCGGUGGAAUGCGUAGAUAUCGGGAGGACACCAGUGGCGAAGGCGACCUACUGGGCACCAACUGACGC